Molecule: ribosomal RNA, 246 nt
Filed under: uncultured bacterium
Lineage: Bacteria
Description: partial 16S ribosomal RNA
Rfam family: Bacterial small subunit ribosomal RNA
Source: RNAcentral
UACAGAGGGUGCAAGCGUUGUUCGGAAUUAUUGGGCGUAAAGGGAGUGUAGGCGGUUUGCUAAGUCUUCUGUGAAAUCUACGGGCUCAGCCUGUAACGUGCAGAGGAAACUGACAGACUUGAGUGUCGGAGAGGAUAGUGGAAUUCCCGGUGUAGAGGUGAAAUUCGUAGAGAAUCGGGAGGAACACCUGUGGCGAAGGCGGCUCGCUGGGCCGGUCCUGACGCUGAAACGCGAAGGCGUGGGAGC